ACAUAUAAAUAUAGGUCAAUACUUUCCUACUUUGUCUAACUUGUGUGCGUGACUCCAUAGGUUCAGACACUAAGCUGGUAGCAUAGAAAUCAAUUUUUAUACUAAUCGAUAUAUCAUCUAGUAAUGUUUCUCGAUAUGCGAAUAGAUCAAAUUAUCUCAAAAGAAUAUUUCAGAAUCCAUACACAUGGUUACCACAUAAUUCAUCCUUUUGACCUUA
This 217-nucleotide long non-coding RNA is filed under the name Elaeis guineensis (African oil palm). RNAcentral's name for it is "long non-coding RNA (EGUI_LNC057538)". Lineage: Eukaryota; Viridiplantae; Streptophyta; Magnoliopsida; Arecales; Arecaceae. The record is from RNAcentral.